UCGCUUGCACUAGUUAGGGCUCACAUAAGCUCCAAUCUGGUCGACAACAUCCCCAACACGCCCAUAGAAUCCCACAAUGCUGUGAUUGUUCGGGGCCGCUACACGGAAAGGAGUAUUGCCCGCAGCUUGUUUCCCGUAUGGUCCGUAGGUGUUAACAUUGGUUACAAUUGUAAGAGACGUCACAACAGUGUGGACUCCGUCGUAGUUAUUACCAGUUGUCCCAUAGAUCUCCUUCACGGUCUCUGAAGGACCAAACUGUAUGGGCUGUAAGGAAAGGUAUGAAUGCAUGAAUAUAUGACCAUAUACAAGUAUUUAGACUUUAAGAUACAAAAAACAGCAUCCUUUAAAAUCCACUCACCGGUUGCUUGGACUUUCCAGCAUCACCACCCCAUGGACCAACUGCCCGCUUCUGGCCAGAUUGGUCAGUGUAGGAAAAUGCAAUUGUUUGGAUGAAAUUGUUAUUAGCGUAUAUUGUUACGCUUUCAAGACGUUGAGGUUGCUCUGCACCUUGGAUUUCAUAAGGUCUCCCUCCAUUCCCACCCCACGGCCCAAUCUUUUGGACGGGCUUCUGUUAGAGCUUAGAGAGGACAUCGUCAAAUGAUAAACUCACAAAUGUUGUUGGAAUUAUAGAUCAACAUGAACAUGAGUAUAUAUCUCACCGGCAUUGGGAUGGUGAGGCACAUAACACGAAUACGAAGUUCAUUAAUGAGCACUCCACUAAUGGUCUGAAUCCUUUUGUAGCUGCAAACACCUUGUGCAUACACAAACUCUCCGGUCCCUCCCACAACUGCCCAAUCACCUUCAUCCCCAAGAGUCCCAGGUCCAAGAAGCCAAGUUUGAACCUAUGCCAAGUUUGUAAAUAUAGCAGACACAUAUGUUAGAGCAAAGCAUAUAGACAUAGAUUACUGAAACUUAAUCAAAUGUGUGACCAACAAAAUGUGUUACUAAAAUCGAUGAACGAACCUCUGAUCGGUGAACACCACGAUGAAAGAACCAUACCAACUUUCGGUGCUUUUCCUGGCGGCGAUGCCCACACCCUGCAACCGUGCAACAACCGUUGCCUUGUUGUCAGGAGCAUCACGUAUGUCCCAGUCCGUAACAUUCGUGCAACCAAAAUGAUUGGGAAGUCCUUUGGAGGGCAGUACUAUGGUAUGUUCGUUAGUGCCGUGCUGCUGAAACGCGUAUAGGUGGAAGAGAUGCUCCUGGUGCUGCACCGGUGAGGUAACAGACGCAGAAGUCUGGUAAUAGGAAGGGUUAGCAGCCAUGGCAAUGCUGACAGGAUUUUUUUUGGGAUGCUUGAUGUCUAGGGUGCUUUGUGUAGUGCGUUGGCUGUGGAAAGGGGUGUAGUGAAGGGGGGGCAAUUUAUAGGCGUCUGUGGAAAGGGGUGUGACCCUUUUUAUUGCAAUAGAUUAUGCGUUAAUGUGUGUUGCAGGCUGAGUCCAUGCAUACCUCACAUGGCCUACACUUAUGAUACGUCUCUGCAUGCCAACUGCACAUAAAAUAUUAAAAUGCUCAUUAAAAUAUUAAAAUGCCGACUGCAUGGCAUUCAUUAUUUUUUAAAAAAAAUUGAGGUGCUGGUAGCGCAUGAAUGAGGCAGCGGGUUAGCUCAGCUGCUCAACCGUUUGGUAGAUGAGAAACAUCAAGAGGGUGAAAUAAAUGCUGCGGCUGCUUUACUGGCCGUCGGAAGAUGAGAAACAUUACUGUACGCUGUUGAUAAGCAAGAAACUUCAAUUUGGUGAAAUGCUGAAGCAUAUGUACUGCGCUGUCACAUCCUGAAAUUUUCAAAUUUUAGGAGGUGAAUAAAAUGAUUAAUUAAACAAUGAUUUUCUCAUAGAUUUUAAAUUUUUUUCAACAUUUAUUUUUCUUUACAUGAAAUUUAGUAUAGGAAAAAUAAUUGUUUAUUUUUCUAAAAUUAAAUAAGGUUGUUCUGUGUCUUACAUUCAUGCCAAUGCAUCUUGAUAUUUUUUGAGUGCAAAAAGUUUCAAAAAUACGUCUAAAAAAGUUUCAAAAAUGCGUUUAGGCGAUGUCCAGACCCUUCCGAGAAUUUUCUAGUUUUUUAUGGAAUUUAUUCUCUUUCUCCUAGAGCUAAAUCCAAUUUUUUUUGGAUGGUUCUAGAAUUAUUUUCAUGAGUUCUAAGUAUUUUAUUUGGACUCCUCGUGUCCCAAACUAUUUCUAUGAAUUUUCCUGGAAUUUUUGAAAUUUUUAGAGUAUUUUUCGUGACUCUAUGGAAUUAUCUCGAUUUUUUUGGGUUUUUCCUUUCACGAGAAAUCAUUUCUGAAAAUAAUCUAACCUAUCCAAUCCUACCGGGCCAAGCCCGUGGGCCCAACCCACUCCAAUCAGCCAUGCCGCAGGCCCACCUAGCCCAUCCGGGCCCAGCAGCUGCUGCCGAACUGCCCUCGAUCGGGACUCGGUCGUGCAUCACCGCCGCCAAUUUUGUUGGCGUGCGUGCCAUGCUGGGCGCGGUUCCAUGUGCCUAUAAAGGGCGAGGUCGAGCCUUGCGGCCCCUACUGCUCCUUAAGCCAAUGCCCUCCUGAUGCUCGCCUCAUCUAGCGCUGCCUUCGCGAGCUACGCAGAGUUGAGCGCCAUGGCCGCCGCCGGUUUUCCACUCGAUUCGCCGCGUCGAAGCGCUGCUAGAGCAAGCCGAUGCUGCCACAAGCUUCGAAAGACUGAGCCACGCCCAUUUCACCUGUCCCCGACACCGACCAUCCAUUGGAGCGCCGCCGCCGCGGAGGAGUCUGAGCCGGCCGCCGCCAGCUUCUGUCCGCCCGAUUCCAGCCGGUUCCAUGUCUUCAACCUCGGUGAGCACCUCCCCCUGCACCACCUCCACCUCCUUACGCCGCCUGCGUAGCCUGCAUGCUGCCACGGGGAACCCCGACCAGCCUGACGUCGGCGAUUUUGGUCAGCCGAGUGAAUUGGCCUGAUCCGAUCGAGAGGUUGAAGAAGACGGCAGUUUGCGGUUUAGCCCCUGGAGAACCCUGUAGUUUUUCCUCUUUUCUUUGUAUCUUGGCAAACUUGCAGUCAACCCCCUGGAUCUAUUAGAUUCCCUAGAUCCAGUCCAGCCCCUGCAGUUUUGCAAAUCUAACCCUAUCCUUUAACCUUUUCACGAGCACUAUUCCUUGUGCCUUGCCAAUCUUCCUUGCUAACCCCUAAGGUAUACGAUUAAUUACGUUUAGGCCCUUGCAACAUUGGUUAACCCAUAGAUUCUACGUUUUAGCUCCAUUUUGAUCCGUUCAAGUUGCGUUAGAUUCAUAACAACAUAAUUACACGUUAGUGGUAAUGUUUUCCUUCAUGCAUGUUUUUGAAAAUAAAUUUGAUAUUAAAUUGAUUAAUGCUUGAUAAACGCGUUUCUUCUCUAAAUAACAUCUACUUAGAGUUAUAAACCACUUUUCAUAAUAAACAUCAAUUUGAGUAAUGUCUACUUCAUAUCCUUUUCUAAAUAAAAGCCAAUUAGGUUAUAUAUCGGUCUUUCAUAAAAUAAACUAAAGUUAAUUUGAUUAACGCUUAAUUAAAUAAUUUUUUCUAAUUAAAAGCCAAUUAGAGAUAUACCUCGGCUUUUCAGAAAUUAAAUUAAAUUUGAUUAAUAUUUAUUCAAUUUGCCUUCAUAAUAAAAGCUACAUAGGUUACAUCUCGAAUUUUCAUAAUUAAAUGUUAAUUUGGCUAAUAUAAAUACAAAUGUGUUUUUAAAUUAUAAUUUGAUUAGUUGAACCCGAAUCAUAAAGUUAUGGGCUUAGAUGUUUAGAUGUACUUUAUUUUUAAAUUAAAUAUUAGUUUGCAUAAAUUGUACUUAAGUAUUUAUAAAUAAAAUUGGACAUAUUUUCUUAUGAAAAUUUAAAUAUGAUUUAAUUAACUCUAACUAAGGAUGUGUCUCCGAAAUAUCUUUACAUUAUAUCUCAACUAAAAUAAAUGAAGCAUGUAGCUCUUGUUUUUUCUUUUAUAAUUCAAAUAUCUGAUAGGUUUAUCUUUUCUAACCAUAGUUCCGUUCUCAAGUUUCUUGCGUUUGCGUGAUCCUAGAAUUAAGCCCUAUCCUUUAGUACACUCUUUUAAAACCUUUCUUUUGUUUUGGUGUAUUGUUCUUAGUUGUACUUGUUUGCUUGUUUGUUUGUCUGUGCUGAUGAUUGCUUUGAGUAGAAGGAUCAUUGCUCGAAGGUUUUGAAGAGUAAGAGUUUUAAGAGAGCAAGAGCCGAAGAGCAGUACCAGUAACUUUUCAUUGGAGAAAGGCAAGUGUGUCCUUGUGCUUUUGUCCCAAUAACUUUAUUUAAUCACUAUUGCAUAUCCUGUUCUAUUAAGGUUUGCUUAGUUUUUAUGAUCAUUCCUUAUCAACCUGAGUUUAUCUUUCUAUUGGGGGUAGCUAUGCUUAGCUGCUAUACUUGGGUUAUGGUGGUUCUAAUGAACAAUAUGAUGAACUUAUCUUUCAUAUGCUAUACGUUUCUUUAAUACAAGAUCACUAUGUUUAAUCGGAACACGGAGAACCACCUAGGAAAACAGUGCUACCACAAGACUAAAUGGCUCUGAUCUUGGCUGAAUAAUUAGAAAUCUUAGUCUGGGGUAAUCUUACUCGAGAAGAGGCAAGAGGGGGGGACUGAGUCGUUGCAUAAUCGGCCCUCGGGAGGUUAUGCGCGCCAGACACCGAAACCUUAGCGGAUUACCACUUACUAGCAAAUCUUUGUAAAGGUCUCAUAGUGUCCCUAUGCAAUCACACCUUGGAAGUAUGGUAUGAUGCCUAGCUAGCAUCGCAUGGUUGGGUCCAAAGUUCUUUGAACUUUUACGCGACUUGUGGGUAAAGAUGUGCAACCUCUGCAGAGUGUAAAACUGAUCGAUUAGCCGUGCUCACGGUCAAGAGCGGCCUGGACCCUCACAUGAUUAAUAUACUUGAAGAUGGACUUAAAUCAUGGUUUAUGCUAUGGUUAUGUUCUGCCAUAUGUUUAUGGCUUAUGUUUAUGUUAAUGUUAAUUGUGGGUUGGAAUAUACUUAUACCUUAGUAAUCAGGUGCUAAUAAAACUUGACCAACUAAAAAUGCUUAAUGCAGUCAACCAGUCAGCCUUUCCUUGUUUAAGCCCUGCAUUCAUAUUCUCCUCACACUUGUUGAGUACGAUAUGUGCUCACCCUUACUAUAACCAAUAUUUCUCAGAAGAAGAAGCUGCUAUGAAGUUGUUAUGAAGAUGAUGCUGAGUUCUAGGCGUACACAGCCCCCAGUCGAUUGCCUGUGAAGUUUGGAACCUCCGUUUCCAGGAUUAACUGUAUAUCUCUGAUGGUUUCAUAAGUCUUUAUUGUGUUUCUUUACGUGAUACCGUCUCUGUUAUUCACUAAUGAUGUCACUAUAUGUAUGAAACUAGAUCCUGAUAUACAUAUAGGCAGUACUUGGUUUUAUUCUAAAAUCAGGUGUGACAUGCUGGUGAUUGUCAAAGAAACUUCACGUACAUGCAAAUAAGGUCACUGUUUUUUUAAAAAACUUGCCUAAUCACUGAUGGAGAACUCACUUUUAGUCUCGGUUGGUAGAGAGCAAAUCUCCCAAAAAAUCAUCCGGGAUAAAGCAAUCGAGACAAAAAGGAGGGGGGGGGGUCUUUUGUCCCGGGUCACUCAACCGGGACUAAAGACCCCCUUUUAUUCCGGUUGGUAAGACCAACCGGGACUAAAGGGGCUGCCACGCCAGGCGCAGGACAUGCCCCUUUAGUACCGGUUGGUUUUCCAACCGGGACUAAAGUGCAUCCGCAAAAUUACAGGCACGCACCAUGCAGGUGCCUGCAUGGCGCCUGUAAUUUCAUGCAUCAUGUACCCCUUUAGUAAUUGAGAGUUUUUUUAAUGAAAUCAAACUAGUAUUUAAACGAAUCAAACUAAUAUUUAUACAAUUACUAUAUGUAUAAUUGUUAGUAUAUAUACAAUUCUUAAUUAGCACACUAUACAAUAACCUUAGCGUAUUAUAUAUAAAUAUUCAAACUAUAGUGUUUACAUAAAAAUUUUCCCGGACAUUCCUAGGAUCGAUCUUCCCGUCGAGGUGUUGCUCGGUGCGUCUUAAUUUCAUCCAUCGUAAUGAAAUUCUUAUUGUGAAUUUAUCACCUCGUCCACCAGAAAUCCUACGAGACCUUCACAUAUUGCCCCUAUUCUUUCCUUCUCCAAGAUGCUAUGUUGAAUAUUAUGCAUCUGUAAUUUGGAAAUAUGUGAAUAAUGUUACACGAACAAUUAAAUAUAAGGAGCUAGAAAAUAAUUAACUAUUAAUAGUUUUAUUUUGCAUACUUUUUUCAUGCUCCCUCAACCUAGCCUUGUAUGACACAAAACGGUGCAUGUUCUCACAGACGUAGUUGCCACAUAGAUCAUUCCCGGGUUCCUAUAUAAAACAUUUAAGUGGGGAAAGGAACAAGUUAUGAAAUAUUAAUGAUAUAGAAUGUACAAAAUGUGCAAACUUCAUAUGUAAGUUUUUCUUUGAAUGCACCUUUGUGUUUCUUGAGUAAUUGUCUCCAUGCGCUAUGGAUUAAAAUAAUGAAUGAUACAGUGUUAGGCGAAAAUUUAGGAAACAAACUUUUCCAUUGAGAUAAAGGUCCAGAAUUAUUAUAAGUUUAGCAUAUCUUGAAUCUCUUGGUACUCCGCCGGUGGUUUCCUCAAGGAAUCAAAGACAGUGACGUGGCUUCUAUCAGGCUCAAUUAUUAUGAGGAUCCGGUGAAAACUGUUGGCGCAGAAAAUCGGACGACGGGCCCGACUCUUGCGUCGAACACACGAUCCGGGAGAAUCUGCUUAACUCAUGUUCGGGUUGUCGCCCUGGUGCAGUUCACGCGGCGUGCUAGUCAAUCUGACCUGUUGAUUGACAAGGGAGAACAGGUGUUAGAUUUCAGAGAUCCGAUCGACUGGAGUUCCGAUCUACUCUAAAGAACGUAUCGGCGGAUUGGCCGAUAGAAUGUAAGGAUGACCAGCUAUAAAGCAGCUGAUAAUCACAUAGAAAAUGUAAAGGAGACUACUAGAGCAACCUAAACAAUGCUACAGAGACAACACUUGAAACAAAAAUCUAAUCAGCUCUAUGGUAAUAAGUAACAUAUUGAUAUAGCCGAUAGUUCGUGCCUCAACUUGGAUAACUGGUGAUAAAAGCUAAAAUAAUAGGCAAAACCUAUAGUUCUAGCAAAUAUCGAUAACUGGUGAAUAAGUCUAAACAAGACGACAGCGAUGCGCCUGAAGUCAAAGCUUAGAUGUUACUCGAAACACGGAACUUACAAAUUGGCUGGAGGUCAAGCUGAUGCAGUCCUGCCAACUCGCACGAACUCGUGAGAAAGAAAAAAAGCUUGGUGAAGUCACCGACUCGAAAGUAGAGUUGCGUGAAAAAGUAGGUUUGUAUUGAUUCUUUUGAUCUCCCAUUGCCAACCUCACGAGACACCUAUUUAUACCCUGUUACAACACGUUUCCUAGUCGACUACAACUCAGUAGUCUAUUUCUUAUUCCACCUUUAAAAGGAUACUUCACCUUGCAGAUUUGCAACCCAGGAUAUUUCUUUCCACCAUCUCUUUCUUUUUAAGAAAAAAAGGAAAGAUCCCCUUACAAUUUCUACAUGAAUUGGAAUCUGCAGCAAUAAUUAUUGGAUUCAUGGACUGAAACUUCAAUAUUCAUGUUUGGGGAUACCAUCUGCUAGUAGAACUUAUAAUAAAUAAAAGACACUAAAUCUUCAGAGGGGGAAAAAAAAAAGCUCACCGGCGAGUCGUAGGCGGCCACCACCCGACCGCCGGGCGAUGUCCUCGGCGACCACCGUGCCGCGGGUCCGCGCAUCGUGCUCCCCGUCCCUCCUCCGCAGGUGGUGCCGCAGCAGACAGCAGUCAAACGAUGGGCCACCGGCCAAUCCAAAGCUUAUACCAGCGUCUCUCGCGGAAGUGCAGGCACGACGGGCUGGGCCGAAAAAUGUGCUGGGGAAGCCCACCUACUUUGUUUUUGAAACGAACCUCAGUACCUUUGCAACGCCAAGGCUAAAGCAAAGACGAUUUUGGCUUGCCAGUUGCCACAAAUCGGUUUGCACUCAAAAAAAAAAAAAAAUAACAACCUCUCAUACGAAGACAAAAUUUCAACAUACGGACAGCAGUAAUCAAUCCAGAUAUAAAAUCAUUAUUUUGAGACGAAUAGUAUUCUUUCAGGGUUCAAUAUCGUCAACCAGCGGUAUUACUGAUUGUAGAGAACUUAUCUUCCAUCCAACCCAUUUUAUCCCGGUUAAUAUUGGAACCGGGAUUAAUAGCCCCGGGUCAAAAAUGAGGUACCAAAAGGACACCGACGGGAGGAGUUGUAAAGAUUUGGCACCGACGCAAAGAGGGGGCGUUGCGCGGCUCGAGGGAGCUUCUCCCAGGCUCUCCUCUCCACUUAUCUCAUCCUCAUCCUCCUCUCAAGCUUCUUUUCCUCUCCUCCUCCUCCUCCUUCUCCUCAUCAGUGGAGAUCUCCACCGGCGCUCCCCUCCUCCCCGUCUCUGCACCGCCCCCGCCCCCUCCCCCUCUGCUCCCCUCCCCUUCCCCCUCUGCUUGCCCCUCACUGGCAGUAAGGCGCGACAGCGGGGCGAGGGCAGGGUAGCGGUCGAGCAGCGGCGGGCGGGCGGGCGGAGGCAAGCGGUGCGGUGGGCGGCGCAGCGGGCGGAGGCGGGCAGCCAUCAAGUGAGGGCGGGCGGUGGCGGGGCGGAGGCGGGUGAGCGACGGGCCAGCGACGGUUUGCUACUUUUUUUUAAUUUUUUUUUGAAACCUUUUAGUCUCGGUUGGUGUACCAACCAGGACUAAAGGGGAUCUUUAGUUCCGGAUGAAUGAUCUGGGAAUAAAGAACCCCUUUUGUCUCGAAAAAUUAAUUCUGAUUGGGCAUUGGAGAGAUAUGACCCUUACCAACUGGAACUAAUGCUCACUUUUCCACCCGUGGUAGUUGCAUGCAUAAUGCAAGCUUUGCUCUAUUUGUCUGAUACGACAGGAGUAUGAAAAAAAAAGCAAAUUGUAUUGCCGCUUCUGUGUUUGAUGUUGCCACGCUUCUACUAGCUAGCAUCACUAAAGUAAAGUACAAUCCCGACUUCAGUGUCAGGAGCAUCACGUACGUUCCAAUCCGUAACAUUUUGUGCAACCAAAAUGAUUGGGAAGUCCUGACUUCCCCGGCACUAUAUUAUAUUCGUUAUUGCCCAUAUGCUGAAAUGCGUAUAGGUGGAGGAUGCUCCUGGUGCUGCACCUGUGACCUAACAGAUGGAGAAGUCUGGUAAUAUGAAGGGUUAGCGCCAUGGCACGCUGAUGACAAGCAUUACACCAGAAACGAUCUGUAUUAGCACCUUGAUUUUUGAGUGCUGGCGGGUAUGAAUGCCACCCACUAGUACAAAAGGUGUAGUGGCUAGCCCAUUAAAACCCGUCACUGCAAAUGCAUUUGUGUUGGCGGGUGACAUGACAACCCGUCACUGCAAAUGCAUUUCAAAUUGUAUUAAUGGGGAGGGCAAAAAAAUUCUAACUAGCCAAAAACUUAAUCAUACAUAUCCAAAUAUAUUCUUAACAUGUAUUAGACUAUGUAUAUGCAGUUGUAUAGGAGUUUCAAAAUUUUUAGAAGGGAUUUGCAAUUUUCUAGAUUUAAACUAUUAUAACCAUGCUUAUUGAAAUUAAUUGAUAUUUGAACUAAUCUUUUCACAAGUAAGAUUCAAAAAUUGCAGAAAAAUGACAAUAAGGAAACAUGUUCCAUUUUAGCUCAAAUCAUGAAAGUGCAUUUGAAAUUUCACAAGUUUCUUAAUGUAUUUAUCACUUCUAUUACAAGUUGUUGUGGAAAAAAUUAUAAUAAUAUCAAAAUAUGGUGUGAAAAUUAUAUAAAUUGGUAGGGAGUCAUUUUGUGAACCCACAACCUUAACAUAAAAGUUUCAAUAUAUUUUACAAAAAUUAGACUAUACAUUAUUCACAAAUGUAUACUUUACUAACAAUAUUUCAUAUAACUCAAGUCACACUUUAAACUUGUCAACUAACUUAGCAAAAACAAUUGUCAUAUAUAUCAUGGUAUAAUUUUUACAUGUAUAAUACUGUAUAUAUAUUAUGUUGUACAAGAUUCAAUAGCUUUUAAACUAAUUUACUUGCCUAAAAAAAUUUAAAAAAAGAAAAAUGUAUAUAGAUUUGUCACCCGCCAGCACGAAGGUCAAAAAAUUUUCAUGAACAGAAUGGGCAGUGAAAAAAGUGGUGCGCUUGAGCAGCCAUGCCUCUUCUUAUCUCCUCCUCUCUCUGCCGCUCCCUUUAUCUCUUUCUUUUACUGCUGUUCUCCCAUCUCCCAUCUCUCUCCCUUAUCUCUCCAGGUGCUGGCGCGUCCGGGCAGCGAUAAUGGCGGCCGGCCUAUAGGCGCCAGUGGGAGUGGUACUCGGCGCAUGCGGACUGCGGCAACAGCGGCCGGUGGGAGCAGCGGCCAGUGCGUGCACGACAGCAGCUGGCGCGGCCGAGCCGUGGGAGCGAUAGUUGGCCCGCGCAGGUUUGAGAUGGCUCCGGUGGUGCGGCUAGUGGAGGUGCAGUGCAGUUAUGGAGGCUCGGCGCUACGUUCAACGGCAAAUACGAUUAGUUUUGUUAGUUUCCUCUUCCUCGCGUGAUGUAGUGAAUUUCGAACCACGGGUUCAAUUCAUGCAAGGGAGGGUUGAUUUGCUUAGGAUCCUUUUAUUUUUCAUCAAUUUUCCCCUUGCUUUGUCCUUAGAUAAAACCGAGGUGCUGCUCCGGCAAGGACGGCGGCUUGUGCGGGUGGCAUGCAGGGGAUGGGCAUGCAGGCGCAACAACACGAAGACACUAUAGGUGGAGGUAACUGGCCGUGCGGCAUGGAGGAGGACGGUGGGCUUCCUCGGAUGGUGUGAGCAGCACAGCUGCCGGAAGCCGUGGGACGACGACAUGGCUGGCGUCGACUGCGGCAUGGGGAUGCAGACUUCCUAGGAUGACGCGAGCAUGGCGGCUCGGGAGAUGGCAGCCUAAGGUGAAACGUGCUGCAGCGCGGCAACGGAUGCGGCCGCACGAAUGGCUGCAGCUAGAUUUUUUUGUUUCCUAAAAAAAUAUCUUUGCUGGGGCUACAUAAGCACCCGCGAGCAUAGGGCGCACCGGCACUGGCGGACGGACAUCGGCACUGGCGGACAGACACCAUGCUGAUAGUGAGUUGUUGGCGGGUGACAGACCCGCCAGCAGAAACCGGUUUUAGCCGCCACUACAAAACUUUUUUGGCCUAGUGAGGGUUUACGGUCGUUUGAUGUAUAGGGUGCUUUGUGUGCGUUGGCUUUGGAAAGGGAUGCAGUUGGUUGGGGGUUGGACAAUUGAUAGGUAUCUUUAGAUGUGCUAUUGUUAAUUUGGAGGAUAGUAUAAUAAGACCAUUGAACGCAUUAGAGUUGAAUGCUAAUGUGUGUUGCACGCAAAGUCCAUGCAUAUCCCACAUGGCCUAUAAUUAAUUAACAUGCCACUUAUGACGCUAUUGUCUACACUAGUGCUUCAGCACUAUGUAGUUGAUGUGUAAUAGAUUCGAGUUGCAUGCCUAUCACCCAGUGACCCAGAUCAUGUGAUGGGCUACACGUUGCAAGUUACUUUGUAUUAACGUAGGUUAAUUUUUAAUCUAGCUCAAUAUACUCAAUCCAUCAAUCGACUUUCUAGUAGAUUGUAAGACAGAACGUGGCACACGUAUCGUUGGGAAUAUAAUCCUAGAUAACCUAAGGUAGAAGUUAGAGUUCUACUAGAACUUUCCAUUUACCAUUACAAUCUAUUAGAACUCCUACAUUUUAACUGAACAGGGGAUUUGACAUAUAAGGAGGGGUAGGCAGGGGUACCCCUAGGAGGAUGAAUAGGGAACUUGGCAUGUACAACCCGGUCAUCUGACUACGGAGGUGUGUCUGGUAUCCAGAGGCUGAAGCUGCCUGAGACCACCAAUGGAAUCCGACAACCUAAGGUAGAAGUUAGAGUUCUACUCGAACUUUCCAUUUACCAUUACAAUCUAUUAGGACUCCUACAUUUUAACUGAAUAGGGGAUUUGACAUAUAAGGAGGGGUAGGCAGGGGUACCCCUAGGAGGAUGAAUAGGGAACUUGGCAUGUACAACCCGAUGAUCUGACUACGGAGGUGUGUCUGAUAUCCAGAGGCUGAAGCUGACUGAGGCCACCAAUGGAAUCCGACAGAUGAGUGAUAUCUUAAUUUGCAUCCUCUAAGGGAGAGGAACUUGAGGUGUCAUAUAAUUAAGAACACAAUAUGACCAUUGUAAGGCAUCCAUGGGCCAACAAAACACUCCUUUAAAACAUUAUUAGCACACAUGCAAGAUACAAGGCUAACAUCGACACUUGAAACUUUAUUUCUCAGGCCAUAUGGAGCCUACAACAUGGCAAUGAUGAAAACAACUAGUAAAGGGAGUCUGACGAGGACAACCCGUGUCUUGUUUGUUAUUACUCACACGGAGUAAUAAAGACUUUAUUAUUCUUAUUAUAAGAUGCACUCGCUUGCACUAGUUAGGGCUCACAUAAGCUCCAAUCUGGUCGACAACAUCCCCAACACGCCCAUAGAAUCCCACAAUGCUGUGAUUGUUUGGGGCCGCUACACGGAAAGGAGUAUUGCCCGCAGCUUGUUUCCCGUAUGGUCCGUAGGUGUUAACAUUGGUUACAAUUGUAAGAGAUGUCACAACAGUGUGGACUCCGUCGUAGUUAUUACCAGUUGUCCCAUAGAUCUCCUUCACGGUCUCUGAAGGACCAAACU
RNAcentral lists this long non-coding RNA (12649 nucleotides) under Setaria italica (foxtail millet). RNAcentral's name for it is "long non-coding RNA (SITA_LNC006147)". Lineage: Eukaryota; Viridiplantae; Streptophyta; Magnoliopsida; Poales; Poaceae. The record is from RNAcentral.